UUCUCCCUUUGCAAAAGGACGCCCUCUUCCUCUCCUCUUGGAUUUGGAGUCCCUUCUCGGACUCCCCCAGCAAUGGCCUGAGCGGCAGUAAUAACAGCCGGCGAGGUCGCGGCCGGCGGUGAGGCGGCAAUCGCUGCGGCCAUGCAGGGCAACUUAGUAACUUUGGCAGCUCACUAUCUCUUUGCUAAGGUGGCUAUGGAAUUAUCUAAGCUCUAGAGUUUGAGGUCCCUUCUAUAUAUAGUAUAAACAUGCAUCCAUGGGGAGAUAUCCUUUAUUUUUCUUUCAUAUAUAAUUGUGUUAUUUUCUGCAUGAAAGCUUUUGAGAAUAGCCUUUUUAUGACGGAGUCCUUUUCAUGGGCUUUCUCUGAAUGGAAGACAUGUUGCCUCUCUUAGGGCUUAGCUUUUGUGGCCUAACUUCAACUCUUGUCAUUGUUCAGCCAAGAUAAAGUCUAAAACACAUCUCCGUAUCCCAACGCCACCCCACCCCAACGUACACACAACAAACAACCUGUCUCAACCUGGUGAUGGAAAGUACAUUGAAAGUUGUGUGGAAUUUGAUUUGAUCCACGAUAUGUAUUUUUCAUUCUUGAUGCAUAUUGUGUGGAAUUUGAUUCUAUCAUUGAAAAUUGUGUGAAAUUUGAUUCUGUCAUAUUAUGUGGAAUUUGAUUCGGUACAAUAUGUAUUUUUCAUUCUUGAUGGAUAUUAUGUGAGAUUUNNN
Molecule: long non-coding RNA, 717 nt
Filed under: Phoenix dactylifera (date palm)
Lineage: Eukaryota; Viridiplantae; Streptophyta; Magnoliopsida; Arecales; Arecaceae
Description: long non-coding RNA (PDAC_LNC002217)
Source: RNAcentral